This 123-nucleotide ribosomal RNA is filed under the name Escherichia coli. RNAcentral's name for it is "partial 16S ribosomal RNA". It matches the Rfam family "Bacterial small subunit ribosomal RNA", at positions 1419 to 1533 of the family's 1533-position model. Lineage: Bacteria; Pseudomonadati; Pseudomonadota; Gammaproteobacteria; Enterobacterales; Enterobacteriaceae. The record is from RNAcentral. RNAcentral also lists the same sequence under 7 other names.
AAAAGAAGUAGGUAGCUUAACCUUCGGGAGGGCGCUUACCACUUUGUGAUUCAUGACUGGGGUGAAGUCGUAACAAGGUAACCGUAGGGGAACCUGCGGUUGGAUCACCUCCUUACCUAAAGA